CAACACUGAAGAUAUGACACUCUGCUACAAUGUAACGUAGUAAGUGUACAGCCUGUAUAACAAUGUAAAUUUGCUGUUCUCUCAAAAUAACUCAACACACAGCCAUUAAUGUCUAAACCGUUGACAACAAAAGUGAUUACACCCCUAAGUGGAAAUGUCCAAAUCGGGCCCAAAGUGUCAAUAUUUUGAGAGAUGUAACUCUUGGAUUUUUUGCAAUUUCUCUGAGCAUUGCACAGUCUGACUUUGGGGUGCAUUUGCUGGGACAUCCACUCAUGGGAAGAUUGGUAGCUGUCUUCAAUGUACCACCUGGUACAAUCACACAGAAGAGCUGUAGCUCAAAUUGCGGAAACCUUGCUGGCCAUCAUAGAAUGCUGGUCUUGAUAGAAAAAGCACCUUCAACGGGGACAUGAGCACCAGAAUUGAGCAAUGGAGCAGGAAACACUGUGGGAGGAGGCAGGCAGUGUUAUGCUUGUGGCAAUGUUCCUGGCAUUCAUGUGGAUGUUACUUUGACACGUACCACCUACCUACCUAGAGAUUGUUGCAGACCCAGUAAAUCCCUUCAGGGCAAUGGUAUUCCCUAAUAGCAGUAGCCUCUUUCAGCAGGAUAAUGCACCCUGCCAAACUGCAAAAACUAUUUAAGAAUGGUUUGAGGAGCAUGACAAAGAGUUCAAGGUGUUGCUUUAGCUUCCAAAUUCCCUAGAUCUCAAUCCAAACCAAUAUAAAAGAAAUAGUAAAAAAAAAGUAAGGCUGUGCCUUUAAGACAAAAAAUAAUAAUUUUU
Pelobates cultripes (western spadefoot toad) is the source of this 779-nucleotide non-coding RNA. Lineage: Eukaryota; Metazoa; Chordata; Amphibia; Anura; Pelobatidae. The record is from the annotation of a GenBank genome assembly.